Long non-coding RNA from Cydia strobilella, 149 nucleotides. RefSeq lists it as uncharacterized. The transcript has 2 exons. NCBI's taxonomy places the organism in Eukaryota, Metazoa, Arthropoda, Insecta, Lepidoptera, Tortricidae. The record is from RefSeq and is a predicted model, not a curated record.
GCAGUGUAUAGAGGCCCUUAGUGUAAUCAAACGUGUCAAUUUGUUCGCUUUUUAAAUUAUUCCUCUCGAGCGGCCGCGGGUGUCGACGCUAUUAGGUGUCUAAUAACUGUGAACUGCCUUCAUGUCUUAGCUACAAACAAUGGAAUGUA